GCGGUGGAUGAUGUGGUUUAAUUCGAUGCAACGCGAAAACCUUACCCACCUUUGACAUGGCAGGAAUCCUGAAGAGAUUUGGGAGUGCUCGAAAGAGAACCUGCACACAGGUGCUGCAUGGCUGUCGUCAGCUCGUGUCGUGAGAUGUUGGGUUAAGUCCCGCAACGAGCGCAACCCUUGCCAUUAGUUGCUACGAAAGGGCACUCUAAUGGGACUGCCGGUGACAAACCGGAGGAAGGUGGGGAUGACGUCAAGUCCUCAUGGCCCUUAUAGGUGGGGCUACACACGUCAUACAAUGGCCGGUACAGAGGGUAGCCAACCCGCGAGGGGGAGCCAAUCCCACAAAGCCGGUCGUAGUCCGGAUCGCAGUCUGCAACUCGACUGCGUGAAGUCGGAAUCGCUAGUAAUCGCGGAUCAGCAUGUCGCGGUGAAUACGUUCCCGGGUCUU
RNAcentral lists this ribosomal RNA (448 nucleotides) under uncultured Allobrachymonas sp. Its description in RNAcentral is "bacterial SSU rRNA". It matches the Rfam family "Bacterial small subunit ribosomal RNA", at positions 929 to 1382 of the family's 1533-position model. Lineage: Bacteria; Pseudomonadati; Pseudomonadota; Betaproteobacteria; Burkholderiales; Comamonadaceae. The record is from RNAcentral.